Molecule: ribosomal RNA, 1243 nt
Filed under: metagenome
Description: bacterial LSU rRNA
Rfam family: Bacterial large subunit ribosomal RNA
Source: RNAcentral
UGAGUACGAGAUGCUACGGCAUUGAAGCAGUCUAUGUCAUACUUCCAAGAAAAGCUUGCACUGUCAUAAAUAAACAAUGCCUGUACCAUAACCGACACAGGUGGGUAGGUAGAGUAUACUAAGGGGCGCGAGAUAACUCUCUCUAAGGAACUCGGCAAAAUGACUCCGUAACUUCGGGAGAAGGAGUGCCUUAUUCGUAAGGUUGCAAUAACAAGAUCCAAGCAACUGUUUAUCAAAAACACAGGUCUCCGCUAAGUCGUAAGACGAUGUAUGGGGGCUGACGCCUGCCCAGUGCCAGAAGGUUAAAGAAGUUGGUUAGUCUCGACGAAGCUGAUAACUGAAGCCCUGGUGAACGGCGGCCGUAACGAUAACGGUCCUAAGGUAGCGAAAUUCCUUGUCGGGUAAGUUCCGACCCGCACGAAAGGCGUAAUGAUUUGGAUACUGUCUCGGAGAGGGACUCGGUGAAAUAGACUUGUCUGUGAAGAUGCGGACUACCUGCACCUGGACAGAAAGACCCUAUGAAGCUUUACUGUAACUUGAGAUUGAAAUUGGACUUUAUAUGCGCAGUAUAGGUGGGAGGCUAUGAAAAUCUUUUUGCGGAAAGAUUCGAGCCAUCAGUGAGAUACCACUCUUAUAAUGUUAGAUUUCUAACUUUGUAUCAUUAUCUGGUCAAAGAACAGUCUCAGGCGGGCAGUUUGACUGGGGCGGUCGCCUCCCAAACGGUAACGGAGGCGCACAAAGGUUUCCUCUGAACGGGUAGAAAUCGUAUCUAGAGUGUAAAGGCAUAAGGAAGCUUGACUGUGAGACCUACAAGUCGAGCAGGGACGAAAGUCGGUCUUAGUGAUCUGACGGUGCUGAGUGGAAAGGCCGUCACUCAACGGAUAAAAGUUACUCUAAGGAUAACAGGCUGAUCUCCCCCAAGAGUUCACAUCGACGGGGAGGUUUGGCACCUCGAUGUCGGCUCAUCGCAUCCUGGGGCGGUAGUACGUCCCAAGGGUUGGGCUGUUCGCCCAUGAAAGCGGUACGCGAGCUGGGUUCAGAACGUCGUGAGACAGUUCGGUCCAUAUCCGGUGUAGGCGUUAGAAUAUUGAGAGGAGCCUUCUUUAGUACGAGAGGACCGAGAAGGACAUACCUCUGGUGUACCAGUUAUCGUGCCAACGGUAAACGCUGGGUAGCUAUGUGUGGAGUGGAUAACCGCUGAAAGCAUCUAAGUGGGAAGCCCACCUCAAGAUAAGUAUCCUCA